ACAUUGUGGUGCUUUCCCCGUGCAUUGACAAUGCAUGAAAUGCGAACAGCCUGUUUUGGAUUAAUUUUAAGUGCAAGAGUGCGACAUUUCCACAAACAAGCUGUGAUCAAGUCAAAUGUGGAGCAAGUGGAAAUUAGGUGGGGUGGAAUCUGUUUUCGAAGGACUCUCAUCUCCUUGGCACCAAAGUAGAAAGAUCGUUGAACCAUGUUUGACUGGUUACUGGAUGUGUAUGAACCAUUAGAAUGGUCAAUCACGUCUUCAUAUUCAUGAUGAACACAUGUAAUUCUUGGUGGAUCUCGAGCAAAUAAGAGCUCUCUCUCCCACACUGGUAGAAUAGAUGGUGCAUGUGCGCCUCUUGCCAUCUCCGCAAUGGCGGUCAGGAACAGGAGCAAUCCAGGUGCAUCGCACAUUGUGUGGUUUAUGCGCAAUGCAAGUAUGAAACCUCCACAUAUAAGACAUGUCACCUGUAUAUUGCAAAAGUUAGUUACUAGACUUUUUUCUUGAUCAUCAUAUUCAUGCUAGUUAACAAUUCUUUAAAAGAAAAGACAAAAAAAAAAAAAAAAAAACACCAUCUAAAUUAGAUGAUCUAAUUAGGAAACAAAAAUUUCAAAAAAAUUAGGAAUAAAAUUCAAGAAAGAUGGAGUCUCUUUGAAAGAGUCUUGUGCAUGUUAUAGUUACUUGAAAGAGUCUUUAAAUAUAGAGGAAUUUAGACAAAACGCUUAUAGAAGAAAAAAUUUAGACAGAAGACAAAGAGGACGACAUGACGACAGGCAAAAGACCUAGAAGAAGAACGGCAAAGAAAACCUACACAAUAAGGGUGAUGUAAGAUUGGUAGAAAACCUAGGACCUAAUUAGGCAGAUACCAUGUAGAAAUAUAAUUUCCUCUAUUCGGUGUGUAUACAAAUUUUACAAUGUAUAGGGUUAAACAUAAGGAUUGUCGAAGAAAAAUUAGUUUCGAAAAAUAAUGAAAAGCGUCUCAUAAUCUUUUCUUUCCAAAACCACCUAAUGACUUUCUUUAAUCAUAAGAACAAAAAGGCGUGGUAGUAUCGUAGAUAAGUUCAAGUUUGGGUGUGGUGGCAAUAUGAUAAAUUUUCGUUUAUGAAAAUGAUUGCCAAUUUUAUGAAAAAAGUUAAAAACAGUUGCGGUGCCACCAAACUUCAACUUAUUUACAAUAUUGUUAGUGCUUUCUUGUUUAUGUCCUUAUUUGUCAUUAAAAAUUUCAUAUGUUGUUGAUUGCACUAAAUUCUUACAAAAAAUCUUCGACGUGUGUAUGCGACCUUAACGCAAAAAACACUACUCAUACCCUUAACCUACUUCAAAGUUUUUGUAAAGAAUUCAUGGUUAUGACCAAAUAUGAAUACGAAAAACUAAUUAACAUAUUAUUAUUCACUCACCUGAACCAGCAGCAAAGGACAACUAAUAAUUCUAUCAGAGCCUGGAAAAUUAUACAAGAACUCCUCUAAGGGUGGACAAUGGGGUAGAAUUUUUUCUCCUAGUUGCUCAAGUGUGACAUCAGCAAAAGCCUCGAUGAACAAGAUACCUUCACCAUUGCAAUCGACCAUGAGCUUUCUGUUAGGCCCUUCCCUAAGCCUUCCAGCUAAAGGGUAGUAAUACACUAAUGCUCUACUUAAGGCUUCCCUGAUCACCUUAACGGGAUUAUGAUGUUUAUUAAGUGAAGGGUUGUCUUUGUAACACAUUAUGAUUGGAACCUGAAAUCUCAAACCUUCUUGGUCGUCCAUAUCUGAGAGAAACUUUGUUUCAUGAGGCGUUGGCUUUGCCGGAGUUAUAAGUUCUGGUUGCAAUCGUUUCACCUGAAUUACUGAGGAUGGCAUCAUUUCAAUAACGAGCUUAAGAACCAACAAAAGAUCAAAGGAUUUGGAACUCUUACUUUGUGGUAUGCAUGCUAACUAGAAGUUGAUAGUCGGUACUUAUAUAGCGUUAUGCAGAUGCUCUAGGGUACCCGAAUCUUCCGUCCAUGUUUCCACCCGUUGUGAAUGUGAUUCUUUUCUUUUCCAUUAAACAUGUUGUUUAGACUUCUUGUUUAUCAAAAGAUCUGAGCGUGCCACUGUUAUCUUUUUGUAUAAUAGAUUGUUGUAUAGGUGUGAAUUACGUCAAUUACUUGUGCUUCAAGUUAUUUAGACUUCUUGUUUAUCAAAGGAUUGUCAUAGAUGCGUUAAGUCUGUAUAAGGUUAUUUUCCUGCCUUGUAAAUAAUGACUUUUACUUAUAACAUUGUAUGUCCAAAAUGAAGGGAGUUCAGGGCUCUUCCAACCAUUUCCUUAAUCAAAGUUUGCUUUAAUGAAAACAAGUUCAUUAACUUAUCCAGAUUUGAUUAUAGAUGAAACUUUUGAGUGGAAAACAGUCGAAAAUGACUUAAAUACAUGAAGAAAAAUGCAUUAAACAACAAAUCUACUAUUUAUAAGUACAAACAAAAGAGAUUCGGGCAACAUUUAACCUUGUCAGGCAAGGUUGAACUUUUGCAACCACUUUACUUUGUGUUUUCAGGGGUUUGUAUACUGUCAGGGAUGAAAAGUAAAUAGGUUUUACUAGAGGGAAUCGAUGUUACAACACUAAGGGAAUGUAGCAGAGCUUCUAAACUCGACAAAAGAUGGCUUUCUAUAAGGGAACUACAGCUAAAAAGGACAAAAUCUGGACAAAUUGCAACUUUCUGGGUACGAACUUGUUUGAGAGCAAAGUUUGUAUGUCUUUUGAUUGAUUGGCUGAGUGUCCUUGUCUCUGGUGUCCCUCUAUACUUUUAUAGACAAUAUGGCCCAACUGUCCAAGCCUUGCCUUUAGCUGAUAGUUCUCGGAGGGCAGUGAGUCAUCACCUAUUUACUCAUCCAUACCCUUGAAAAGUGUUUUUUGGUUAGUGGUGAGGUGCCCUUUGUUGCCCAUCACUUCAAUCAUAGGCAUAUGGCCUAUGCCUAUGUUGAAAUAGCUUCCAAUUCUUCUCAUACCUAUUGGCUUGUCUGAGUCCAGACUUUUCCUUGCUUUUGCAUCUUUGGGCCUCCAUUAUAACAAAGCCCAAAGUCAAAUAUAAACCCAAACACAAGGAACUAACAAAUUACAUGGAACUUUUUAUUUAGAGCCUUGAUGGGCAUAUACAUGCCCUGUUUUUCCUCAGCCUGUUUACUUGCUUGAAAUUUCAUAUGCAAACAUUGCUUUGCUUCCCUCUUUUCAUUUUGGAUUUGACGGCUUGGCUACAUAGACUUUUUUUUGGGCAUGUGACUUUCUUGUUGUUCAAUUUUGUGUGAACAUUGUAAUUUACUUUAUUAUGUUUUCGGUUUGGUAGGUCGCUUAAGCUAUAUACUUGAAUUAGUGAAACUUGCUCGAUGAUGUGAACUUGAAAUACCUAUUAAUCAUAUAAGCAAACCCAAUUUUAACUUGCAAUUUUAACUUGCAAACCCAAUUAAUCAUAGUAAGAGCAAGUAUGAAGUCGUUCCCACGAGUAGGUUUUUACUUUAAUUUGAGUCUCAACUCAAAUUCAACAAACUUUUAAUACAAAUAGGGCUGAAAAUUUUACCUAGAAUGAAAGAGCCAAGGAGAUCUCAAACCCAAAAUCACGAGUAGGUGGGAAGAAUAUUUGAGUGCUUGUAAUUGUUUCUACAUAUGCUUCUACAGUAAUCAAGGAUCCUAUCAUUGUGCGUGAUUAGUUUACUUUUGUGUUCUUGAUCGCAUAUAUAUCAUUUUGCACUCAUUGGUUUGAGGAAAUUAAGGCUCAGACUUCGUGAUAUUUUCAUGGUUCUUUAAGAAAUCCAUUGAAAUCUUACUAAAUUGUCUAACAAAUGAGCAAUUUGAUUCUUACUGUUGGAGGAAAGAUUAGCAGUUUUCAAUUACACUGCAGAAAGGAAGAAUACAAGAGAAUAUAUAUGGAGGAUGACUGGAUGAGUUUUGAAUGGGAACUAAAAUUUACAUAACUUUAUUGCUUUUAGAUUUUUAUUACAACACUUGGCCAUCUUAUUGGCUAUCUAUAUUAACAUUCAGACCUUUAGAUGACAGCCAUAACUCUUGGAUUAGUUUCAAGAGACACAACUCUACAUUACAGAAAGUGCAUUACGUUUAACACUUACAUCAUUGACAUGAUCCUAGUUGAUCUAAGGUUGUUACAUAUAUCCUCCUUAGGUUCCUGAGUAAUCCUCUCUAGUUCCUGCUGAAAUCUCUCCAUGGCCGAGAAUGGCAAGCACAUUGGUACCAAUAUUCCAUCCUCAGUGUUGUUUUUGUGUUGAAUGUAGAAGCUAAUCAAAUCCAUGGCCUUGGCGGGUCCAGCAAAUACUGGCUGUCCCCAUCCAAAAUUGACAUCUCCAACACCUACACGAGUUAGAUCAGAAACUAAAAAAUUACUUCCUGUCGAUGAAUAUUGAGGUCGCCCUCUUAGUACCAAAAGAUCUGCCACUGAUCUUAAGUAUUCUUCAUUCAUGGUAGCUUUAGCCUUCUUCACCAACUCUAAAGCAUAUCCCAGUGGAUUUUUGCAUAGAAGUUCAGCCUUUGAAAUUGCAGCUGGAAAUGCAAAUGCAUUGCCAUAGUAUCCCAAGGGAAGACGUACAUUGUGGUGCUUUCCCCGUGCAUUGACAAUGCAGGAAACUCGAACAGCCUGUUUUGGAUUAACUUUAAGUGCAAGAGUGCGACAUUUCCACAGACAAGCUAUGAUCAAGUCAAAUGUGGAGCAAGUGGAAAUUAGGUGGGGUGGAAUCUAUUUUCGAAGGACUCUCAUCUCCUUGGCACCAAAGUAGAAGGAUCGUUGAACCAUGUUUGACUGGUUACUGGAUGCGUAUGAGCCAUCAGAAUGAUCAAUCACGUCUUCAUAUUCAUGAUGAGCACAUGUA
RNAcentral lists this long non-coding RNA (4821 nucleotides) under Malus domestica (apple). RNAcentral's name for it is "long non-coding RNA (MDOM_LNC005461)". Lineage: Eukaryota; Viridiplantae; Streptophyta; Magnoliopsida; Rosales; Rosaceae. The record is from RNAcentral.